GAUGAACGCUGGCGGCGUGCCUAAUACAUGCAAGUCGAACGAGGUGCUUUUGUAGCACUACGAGAGUAUCCUAGUGGCGAACGGGUGAGUAACGCGUUGGUGACCUACCCCAAAGUGUGGAAUAACAGUCCGAAAGGAUUGCUAAUACCGCAUGUGGUUAUCGGGUUUAGAAACUGAUAACUAAAGGAGCAAUUCGCUUUGGGAGGGACCUGCGUCCCAUCAGCUAGUUGGUGAGGUAAUGGCUCACCAAGGCUACGACGGGUAGGGGACCUGAGAGGGUGACCCCCCACAAUGGAACUGAAACACGGUCCAUACACCUACGGGUGGCAGCAGUAGGGAAUAGUGCACAAUGGGCGAAAGCCUGAUGCAGCAACGCCGCGUGCACGAUGAAGGCCUUCGGGUCGUAAAGUGCUUUUCUGGGAGAGGAGAAAGGACAGUAUCCCAGGAAUAAGUCUCGGCUAACUACGUG
Molecule: ribosomal RNA, 469 nt
Filed under: uncultured bacterium
Lineage: Bacteria
Description: partial 16S ribosomal RNA
Rfam family: Bacterial small subunit ribosomal RNA
Source: RNAcentral